This 70-nucleotide transfer RNA is filed under the name Mus musculus (house mouse). It matches the Rfam family "tRNA". Rfam says of the family: Transfer RNA (tRNA) molecules are approximately 80 nucleotides in length. The record is from Rfam by way of RNAcentral. RNAcentral also lists the same sequence under 1 other name. Lineage: Eukaryota; Metazoa; Chordata; Mammalia; Rodentia; Muridae.
GGAGAGAUGGCUCAGUGGUGAAGAGCACUAGUUGUUCUAGAGGUCCUGGGUUCACUUCCCAAUAUCCACA